This 575-nucleotide ribosomal RNA is filed under the name uncultured bacterium. RNAcentral describes it as "bacterial SSU rRNA". It matches the Rfam family "Bacterial small subunit ribosomal RNA", at positions 65 to 653 of the family's 1533-position model. The record is from RNAcentral.
AACGAGAGAGAGGGAGCUUGCUUCCUCAAUCGAGUGGCGAACGGGUGAGUAACGCGUGAGGAACCUGCCUCAAAGAGGGGGACAACAGUUGGAAACGACUGCUAAUACCGCAUAAGCCCACAGGUCGGCAUCGACCAGAGGGAAAAGGAGCAAUCCGCUUUGAGAUGGCCUCGCGUCCGAUUAGCUAGUUGGUGAGGUAACGGCCCACCAAGGCAACGAUCGGUAGCCGGACUGAGAGGUUGAACGGCCACAUUGGGACUGAGACACGGCCCAGACUCCUACGGGAGGCAGCAGUGGGGAAUAUUGCACAAUGGGGGAAACCCUGAUGCAGCGACGCCGCGUGGAGGAAGAAGGUCCUCGGAUUGUAAACUCCUGUUGUUGAGGAAGAUAAUGACGGUACUCAACAGGGAAGUGACGGCUAACUACGUGCCAGCAGCCGCGGUAAAACGUAGGUCACAAGCGUUGUCCGGAAUUACUGGGUGUAAAGGGAGCGCAGGCGGGAAGACAAGUUGGAAGUGAAAUCUAUGGGCUCAACCCAUAAACUGCUUUCAAAACUGUUUUUCUUGAGUAGUGCA